This 564-nucleotide ribosomal RNA is filed under the name uncultured Glomus. Its description in RNAcentral is "SSU rRNA". It matches the Rfam family "Eukaryotic small subunit ribosomal RNA", at positions 548 to 1114 of the family's 1831-position model. RNAcentral also lists the same sequence under 1 other name. The record is from RNAcentral. Lineage: Eukaryota; Fungi; Glomeromycota; Glomeromycetes; Glomerales; Glomeraceae.
UUGGAGGGCAAGUCUGGUGCCAGCAGCCGCGGUAAUUCCAGCUCCAAUAGCGUAUAUUAAAGUUGUUGCAGUUAAAAAGCUCGUAGUUGAAUUUCGGGAUCAGUUGGUCGGUCGUGCCUCGGUACGUACUGGUCAAAUUGAUUCCUACCUUCUGACGAACCACGAUGUCAUUAAUUUGGUGUCGCGGGAAAUCAGGACUGUUACUUUGAAAAAAUUAGAGUGUUUAAAGCAGGCUCGCGCUUGAAUACAUUAGCAUGGAAUAAUGAAAUAGGACGUUUGAUUCUAUUUUGUUGGUUUCUAGGAUCGACGUAAUGAUUAAUAGGGAUAGUUGGGGGCAUUAGUAUUCAAUUGUCAGAGGUGAAAUUCUUGGAUUUAUUGAAGACUAACUACUGCGAAAGCAUUUGCCAAGGAUGUUUUCAUUAAUCAAGAACGAAAGUUAGGGGAUCGAAGACGAUCAGAUACCGUCGUAGUCUUAACCAUAAACUAUGCCGACUAGGGAUCGGAUGAUGUUAAUUUUUUAAUGACUCAUUCGGCGCCUUACGGGAAACCAAAGUGUUUGGGUUC